UCUUGUCCCUCGGGGAGUCCAGACGGCUGGGCUGAGAGUCGGGAACCACGGUCCCGAGACCCUAUAACCUGAUGCGGAUCAUGCCGCCGGAGGGAACGGGCGAACCCUUUUC
This 112-nucleotide non-coding RNA is filed under the name Verrucomicrobia subdivision 6. Its description in RNAcentral is "Verrucomicrobia subdivision TPP sequence". It matches the Rfam family "TPP riboswitch aptamer (THI element)". Rfam says of the family: Vitamin B(1) in its active form thiamin pyrophosphate (TPP) is an essential coenzyme that is synthesised by coupling of pyrimidine and thiazole moieties in bacteria. The record is from RNAcentral. Lineage: Bacteria; Pseudomonadati; Verrucomicrobiota; Verrucomicrobiia; Verrucomicrobiales.